UACUUGAGCCGGGUCUGUCGACCUCACGGACAAUGUGGGUCAUGCCAGCCUUGUAUCCGAGGAAAGCGGUCAGGUGAACAGGCUUGCUGGGAUCAUCUUUAGGGAAACUCUUCACCUUGCCACGAUGGCGUUUGCACCUCUUGCGGGGCAGGAAGCCCAGAGAGCCAUGGCGUGGGGCCGAAAACUUACGGUGAGACUACACAAAA
This is a long non-coding RNA of Sinocyclocheilus rhinocerous, 206 nucleotides long. RefSeq lists it as uncharacterized. The record is from RefSeq and is a predicted model, not a curated record. The transcript is spliced from 2 exons. NCBI's taxonomy places the organism in Eukaryota, Metazoa, Chordata, Actinopteri, Cypriniformes, Cyprinidae.